RNAcentral lists this long non-coding RNA (873 nucleotides) under Olea europaea (common olive). Its description in RNAcentral is "long non-coding RNA (OEUR_LNC003205)". Lineage: Eukaryota; Viridiplantae; Streptophyta; Magnoliopsida; Lamiales; Oleaceae. The record is from RNAcentral.
UGACCAUCUUACAAAUCCAUAUAAUCAAAAUGUAAGUGCAUAUAAGAAAAUUAUAUUAAUCUAUUUCCUAACUAAUUUCUCUACAACAAAAGCACAAACACAUACUGACUUCAAUUUCAAGUUCUUUAUUUAUAUUCCAACUUCAAUUAACCAAAUACACAUAAACCUAACCCAUACCUUUCAUGCUAGAAAAUAACGGUAACAGAGCCCCCAAAAAAUUAAAGCUAAAGAUUCAAUUAUCCAUUCCACCACUAAUUCAGAAAAUCAGUUCCCUAUUUUACCUGAUGCUGUAGUAAACACAAAUUUAAUUUCCAACAAGAAAUAAAAUGUCCUCCAGCUUAAUGUUGAUCCAGUCGUUUUUUUCUUUUUGUCUUCUUUUCCUCUUCUUUUCUUUAUCCCAUUGAGCUUCUCGUUUGAAUAAUAAAAUGAACAAUUUUUUUUAUUCCUAUAGCCACCAUCGUCUCACUUCAUUUUCAUUUAAUUUUAUCCCCUUUAAUCAUUAUCUUUUUGCCAACAAUUGUUUAUGAAUCCGUUUGAGUCCUACAGAGUCACCACCGCCUCUAAUCAUAGAAGAAGAAUUCUUUCUUUCAGGAAAAUAGGUACAAAUAAUUCUACUACUCUAUAUAUCAAUGUUCUAUUUCCCACUUCAAUUCUAUCCUUUGACCAUCUUACAAAUCCAUAUAAUCAAAUUGUAGGUGCAUAUAACAAAAUUAUAUUAAUACAUUUCCUACCUAAUUUCUCUACAACAAAAGCACAAACACAUACUGGCUUCAAUUUCAUGUUCUUUAUUUAUAUUUCCAACUUCAAUUAACCAAAUACACAUACAAUUUUUCAAACCUAACCCAUACCUUUCAUGCUAGAAAAUAACAGUAA